Molecule: non-coding RNA, 98 nt
Organism: Armillaria luteobubalina
Lineage: Eukaryota; Fungi; Basidiomycota; Agaricomycetes; Agaricales; Physalacriaceae
Source: the annotation of a GenBank genome assembly
GCAUUAAUGAGGUAGUGGUAGCCUGGGUCGUUGCCAUCCCGAUAUGCAUACAUUUCCAAUGUAUUGACCCGCCAGGGGUUCAAUUCCCCCUUGAUGCA